CACUGCCACUCUCCGUUCUGCUCUCAGCUCCCCUCUCGCCAGACUCACAAAAGGAGAACUUUCAGCCUGAGUGCAAAAUGAAUGAUGAGGGCUUUCUUGGCUGUUUCAUUUCAGCCAGAUCAUUUCGGGUUUCCCCUGACAGGUUCCUGCCCCACCUAAGAGCUUCUCAUGCUCAAGAGACUGGGGUCCAGCAGGAAGCUGUUGUCAGAAGGGAGACAGGCAAAGCAGGGGGUGUUUCGCCAAGCUCUCCUCCUCUCGAGGUUCAGGCCAUCCUGCUCCCACGAGGCCACAUCAGCAUGUAAGCCAGUGCUGUCGGAGAAGCUGUGGCCGAUUUAACUGAAAUGAAAUUCCAUGCCUCGAGCAAUCAUCGAAUUCGUGUCUCAGAUGAAGUUCCCUAGUCACCCUGUCUGGGUCCUUCUCCUGCAAGACCACACAUGCAUGCCCUCACCUGCAAACCCACCUGCUUUGCACCUUCUCAUGCCCUCCUCUUCAUCCCUGGCCUCUGGGGUCCCCUGGCUCAGCAAGGGAGAAAAGGGGCCCUGUUUGAUCAGAGGCACCCAAGUGGUAAAGUCCACUCGAAUAGGGAAACACCUCAGUGGCCAGAUAUGCCACAGGGUGGCGGCCCCUCCAUGACCAGCGGCUCUAACCCCCGCUCAGAGCCCAUGUUUCCCAGCCUGUGACGGGACGUGACUUCCCUGGCUGCACCUCACAGUGAAGUCACUAAUCCCGGAGACGUGCUCUGACUGCUUGCGUGUUGUUUUAUCUCGUCCUCGCCUGGAUGAGAACUCCAUUGGUGGCAGAGACUACACCUCGCACCUCUCCUACUUCCCUGGCAAGGCGUGCUACGGACAAGCAGGACUCUCAGGAGGCUCACGGUAAGGACUGACAGGAGCAGGGAAGCUGGCUGGGUACCACGGGGAGCAGAUGAGGCAGGCGUGACCCAAAAUCCUCCAGGAGACCAUGGAAAUGAACAGCACUGUGGCAGCGGGCUGGCCAGGGAACAUGCAGCACACGACAGCCAACCACGUGCUCCCCGACUCCAUCCUCUGCCACCCGUUGAGCCAUCCUGCCACCCUCCCUGCCUGGGAGGCUCGAAUCGCUGGCUGAGUACCUCGACCACCUGGGCGGCGGAUCUAACAGGUGCUCAGCUACCUAGAAAAGGCUUAGGAAAGGACAGCUGUCUUGAGCUUGGGGUACCCAGUCCUGGGCCUACCUCCUUGAAGGAGGAAAGCAGCUCUUUUUAGGCCAGGCAGGUAACCAUGGGCUCCAUCGCGUGCAUUCAAACAUGUGAUGAGGAAGGCUAGAAAUACAGAAGCAGGGGCUAAAAGGCAUUAAAGAACAGAGCUGAAAUGAGUAAUAGCCUGGCAGGCAGCACGCACAGUGGCCUCCCUGCAUCCCCAGCCUCUCACUUGCAGAGGAAACUUCUGCAUUUCCACAAGACUGCCAGUUUCCUCUCUGUGGUCUAAUUUUAACCACCUUGUCGUUACAGUGUGUGUCAGCCACCUGACCCCACUAUGACCUCUGACCUUACGCCCCAGCUACUGCUUGCACUAUGGAUAAUUAUGUAAUGGGUCCAGGACUUUUCCUUUUCGGAGUGAGUCUGCUGUCGCUGAAAGGAGGGGAGGGGCGGUUAGGGGUUAGAGGAGGAGAGAGAAACACCUGAUAGUGGUCCUCGGCAUCACCUGGAUGCUUAGAGGUAGGCUAGCACCCCUGCUGAGUACGGCGGAACCCCACCCAGAAGAGGAGAGCGCGCCCAGGGAGUGUGUGCGGACAGGCAGGCCGGAGAGCUCCCCCUGUCAGGUCAUGGGCUGGAUGGUAGGCUGAAUGGCUCAGGAAGAAAGUGUGGUUCCUGGCCAAGAGGGAGAAAGGCCACAUGUGUGGACGUGGGACUCCUGGAGAUGGGGGUUUCCAGGGCACAGCGGGACCCAGGGAUGCAGACAUCCUGAGCCUGCCUGCGGUACAUCCUUAGUGGUCUAGGAGAAACAGCCCUCUACAUGGACACUCCUAAACAAAAAGGAGUGCUACCACCACCACCCCCACCCCGUCCCCCAUUCUAGUUUUCGCCCAGUUUAGAAGGAACUGGUUUCCUGGGGAUUUUGUCUGCUGUGGCCGUUUCCCUUGCCUUCCUCCCCUAGGGCAAGGGAACUCCUGGAUGAUUCUCAAAAGAGCUUUGAUCCAGUGGGGUUGCUGGGCUGGUACUAAGAGGCCUGAAAAGAAUUCUACCUGUUUGGAGAGAGAAAAGUCACCCAGGGUUUUGGAAGAGUAUCCUCUCCUUUGUGAUACAACUAGCGGGGAGGACAGCCAAGGGUGUAGAGUCUCCUUGGCUUUCAAAGUGCACUGGGGGUGUGAGGGACAGGCUUGAGCUACUGAGGCGGUAGGGAACUGAGAGGCAUCAAGUCUAGGGCUUGUCCAGGGGCAGAGAGAAACCUUCAGCCUCCAGCCUGGUGGCCGGUGUGCUGAAGCAUUCUGCUUUCAGGUGGGAGGAAAUCUAGCCCCAUGGGGUAGAUUUCUCCUAAACAAAGAAUCCAGCACUUGAGCUGGUGGUGGUGGGGAGUUUAAAUAUGUUAAGAAGGGACAUCACCACAGAGGAAGCCACCCACAGAGAGCCGAUUCCGAGAUGAUCUUGGGCCAAGGAGGGCUUUCUGGUAGGAGAGGGGUUAAAGCUAAGGCUCCCUACUUGGAGAGGAGGAGUCCAGAUGAAGUCUAUGACAUAAUCCCCACAAGAGCUCUGUUCAUGAGUACAUUUUUCCAUUCUAUAUCAAUGAAAAACAGAGAAUGUAAGUGGUAUGUACAUUGUAGCUCUGGGCAAACUUUAGACUCUCUAGAGGAGAAAGAGCUGGGCAGGAGAGGCCUCCUUCCCAGGCUGUUAACAGGUGGGGCUGGAGGGGGCCUAGAGAUGAGUAGAAGGUUGCUGGCCAGGGAACACCCUGGGGCACAUGAGACUGGCACCUUCUCAGGGGCAGGCAUGGUCCUUCUCGAGGGACUCACUGCGCAGGGGAUCACCAGGAGCUCCAAAGUUAACGGAUGGAAUGUCUCACACAAACCAGUCAGAAAACUGGAAAGAAAACUGGGGCUCUGGGUCAGGGAAGAGGCGAAAGAAAGGCACCCAGAGAAAGCCCCUUUGCCUUCCCCUGAAGACCAUCUGAGGCAGCGCGCCCCAUCAGUGGGAACUGAAACCUCUAGCCUCAGGGUUCCAGCUAUCACCCGGAUCAGGUCCACACGCAAAGAACCAAGCAGAAAGGAAAACUGAAAGUGAGAUGUGGCAAGGCGAUACGGCAGCCCGUCCUGUCCCAGGCUCAGUUCCUUAGAGAGAGAACGCGAGCCUGCACAGGAGGCAGGAAAGGUACUCUGCCUGACACCACUAAGACUCGUGGAAGCCAGACUCAGAGGCAGAUGCGUCCUGAGGAAGUCGGAUGGAGCAUCCUCGGGCUCAGCCUUGCCACCGGAUAAAGUCCCAGUCUCGGCGCUCUCCGUGGUCUCCUCAACAUCCUGCUUAUUCCUUCCACGAAGACUUUCACUGAGACGGAUGUGGCUCCUGGAGAGCGUGCCCACGUGUGAUCUGGCGGCAGAGAACAGAGCACACAGCUCUCCCUCACUCGGCCCUGGACACCUCGACCCUGCGAAGAGGCCGAGACGGCGCGGGUUUUAUUCUUCACCACUUGGCCCUCAUGACAUGUUAAUCGCUUUCUGCAAGGGCACCCCUGGAGCUUCUGAGGCACAACCACAAAGCCCGCUGCGCGCUUCACUACCCUCCGCUGUCAAGGCUGACACUGCGUGAACAGCUGCUCCAUGCCAGGCUGUGCCCAAAAGCUUUCAUGCACCACCUCAUCUGCUCCCUGCGACAGCCCCGCCAGCUCUCAACGGGUCCCGAGCAUCGACCUGUGCUUUGGGCAGAGACUCUCGCAAGCUCCACAGCAAGAAAGAGCUCAUCGUGAACUCGAAGGGGCAGUCUUCUGCUGCUGCCCUUGUGAAGACGGAGCUCCUCCUGGGCUUGUCGCCCUUCUCUGGGGAAGCUGACAUGCUCCAGGUUUCUAGGACUCUGGGCAGUCAUCUUGGAAAGGAGGAGAGGAAAGACGGUGCUGCCACUGACCUUGAUGCGGAGCUCAGCUCUGUCGUGGAGACAGUGCCAAGAGCUGGGCUGGGCCAUUUUUUGAAGGAAGGGUUGAUGAUGCAGAGUCCGAACUAACAGUGAGAGCCUGGGGCUAAUGCCUGAUGGAAAAAGGUGGUAUAGGUUCUGCUCAUGCGAUAAGCGGCUCGGGAAGACUUGGAGGGUUUUAUGGAAUCAUUAGCACAGAGCUCCCCUCUGGCCACAGAGCAGAGGAAGGAACAGCAGACCAGUUUAUAAAGCUCCAGAGCGGAAAAUUUCUGUUGGUGUCCAAACUAAGUUUUUUGGCUUUCUGUGAGGUUUGGAAAGACUUAUACUGAUGUUUUAAUCACCUGUUUAGUGUUCUGAAGACUCUUGUCAGCGGCCUCACUGAGCCUGCUCCAGCAGGCAGUGGGAGCUGCUGGCUCAGACACUGUGCUCUUUCUGGGAGCCGUUUCUUUCCCAUGGCCGCCCCUGACACCCUGCAGCUCCCUCCACGCCACUUGGAGGGUACGAGGCAAACCUGUGUGCCCUGUAGGAGGCUGAGGACACACUUUCUGGAUAAUUGCUCACAAGAUCCGAAGCCAGGAAAUGUUGCUUAGGAAAAGCGAAGGUGCAGACAGGUAAGGAGCAGUUUCUGGAGAUCAGUCGGCCAGCAAGGCCUCUGGGGCGGCCCAGAGGAAGCAGGCUUGCCUUCUAGGAGAACCACCACCCAGACAUUCCAAAGCCCUUGGGAACUGAUCAUGAAAGAAGUCCUCAUGAGUGAAAAAGAAAACUGAACAAACUCAGGGCACGGCGCGUUCUAGAAACAAAAACUCAUGAGCUUGCAAGAAGCUCAUUAAGGAGCUUCAGGGUAGUGGCAAGUAGAACAAGUCAGUAAUUCUUCUGCAGUUUUCAUGGGUCACAGCUUCUCAGUGGCUGAAAUAUCCCAUUUUACCGGGAAAGCUGCGGUGGAGAUGAAGCGGUGGCUGAAUGUUGCUAGGCAUUAGGCUAUUUCAUCUCAUUAUCACAGUAAUCCUGGGAGAUAGAAAGAGGAAGAAGAAACUGAAGCCCAAAGGAAACACACAUGCAGUAAGUGGUGAGGCUGGGAUUUGAACCCACAUUUGUCUUACACUGAAGCCUGUGCUCAGUCCAUUAUACUACAGAGCCUCUUAGGAAGUAAUGGCACUCUUGGAGAAAGGAUCCUCCAGGACCUUCUUCAAGUCCUGCCCCCUCCUCCGGGCUCAGCAGCCCAAAGGCUCACCUCCAGGACAAAAUAAAACAGUUCUGAAGAACACAUUUAGAUGCACACAAACCAAAUGGGUGCUUGGCUAAGCUACAGGCAAGAACAGAGACAGUGAAAUGAAAAACUUCUCAGAAUAUCUACCCUAAAAGGAGUCUAUCGUCCACAUCCAGUUUACUUCAUCUCCCUGGACACAGCAGGGCAAGACCUCAGCUGCUCAGCCGAUGCACUGAAUGAACAUGGGAAACCAGUCACCACCGGAUGCCAAGUUAAGGCUACGCGUGAGUGGCCCCAGAAAGUUCUCUGCACUACAGUCUUGGACCCUGGAUGGACUGUAAAGAGAAAGGGCUAUCAAGGAGCACGGGGACGAGACAAAAGAAAUCAAAGCUCUCUCCUUCCACCUGGCACCCAAAGGCUCCCCAGAUCCAUCAGUCUGAGAAACGUUUACUAAGCAGGCAACAGGGGGUGUUGUUCCUCUGGCAGCACUGGAUCUUGGAGCAGCAUGUGAAGGCAGAGAAGAGAAAGGACAACAGUUUCCUUCUCAGCAGAAAGACCAGGCUGAGGGAGGAGAAGCUCAUUUCUGACUGAGUUCUCAGGGCGUACUUCCCGGCCCCAGAAUGUUUUUUUCUUUCUCUUCUGCUCUUUCCUGGGGAAGCUAUUACAACUGUCUGCUCUCUCCAGCUGAGAGUUAACCUCCGUGUCUGGUCAGACCGCUCCACACAUGCUGCUGCUCCCUGCCCUGCUAUGCCCACGUUCAAGAAGAUAAGCCUCCAACGUGGCUCUUCGGGGAGGAAGGAAGGGGGUCUCUCAAGGGACCUCUGCUCACUGAGGGAAGAGGGACUCGGACGCAGCAGCCCACCCGCCCUCCCUCAGUGACCUCAGGGGAGUCUACACAGGCUGCCGGUGAGAGGGGCGAGGGAGGGGGCAGGCAGCGAGAGAGCGAGAGAGGGAGACCAUGACCAGAGAGGUCUUAAGUCCCACAGGAGUUAACUGUGAGGACAAGGAAAAGGCCGUCUGCCUUGUCACCGGGCCAAGAUUAACCAGACCCAUCCAAUUAUGACAGAGGGAAGGCGGGUGCAGGAUCAAGACGAGGGGCAGAAGCCUGCAGACCACUGCAUACGGGGAAACAUCGGAGAAAAGUGUUCCAAAGCUGAUGACAAGGCAGACAGGGAACUUACAUGUCCUUGCUGACAGGAAAGAAAGAGUGACACUCUGGGUCUUCUCUCAUCUGCGGGAUUUCUAACAGGCGUCUGAGGUUCACCCUCUUCCCAAGGAUGUGCUGACAGCUGGGAACACUGCCCUUCGGGUCAGGCAGAGCAGGGAUCUAGCCCUCUCCAGGAGCUCACAAAGAGGUUUAGUAAGGACUCAAACCACGGUCCAAAACACAAAUGGGACUGCCAUUUCCUGCUGGGUUUCCACGCUGUAAAAAGUGGGGGAGAAAUGCCAACUACAAAGCGCUCGGUCUCCUGUGGAAAAUGGAGUCCGCCGUGUAUCCGGCUCCAGGUUCUGACUUGUAAAUCUAAGUGAGAACUAGUUGCUAGCUGCUGGAGGAUUAUAGUGUUAAAGAGACAUUCCACCACCCCACCUGCCAGCCUUUCUGCUCCCUGUCUGUGGACUUCUAGGGAGCUGACGACAAAGCUGUCUUGGGCCUCCGUAGGAAGGGCAGCCUCGGGCUUUGGCAGCUCCUUCUGGACCCCAGUUCACUGUCCUGUGUUCUUAAACAGCUUUGAUGGAACAAGCCAUCUGUGAGGGUUAUUUAGCUUGGAACUGGAAGAGGGUGAGGAUGUGGAAAAAAUAAACUGAGCAGCCAAAGGAUGGGGCCAGAGAGAGAGAAGGCAGGUGGCAUGUUCAUGGGACUAUGUGCCAGGGCUGAGAGGAGGGUGGGAUUACAGAAAGGAACGGUGCCGAAAGGAGGCCGGCCUGGGAAGUGCUGGAAUGCCCAGGACAGUGUGAUUUUAUUUCCCAAGUGGUGUUUUGCUGUUCUCCUUCAAGAGCUCACAAACCCUCACCUGUGGGAGUCUGUUACAGGAGACUCCUAGGAUAACAGAACUGUAAGCACACCUGUUUCACCUUCUGAAAAACUACCUGAAUCCUAAUUUCUUGCUGGGCUUCGUCUUAGUCUAAAAGGUUAAUCUAACAGUUUUUUGGACAUCCAAAGCUACAGACGAUGGCAAAAGCCGGAUCCUUAACCCACUGAGCGAGGCCAAAGAUUGAACCCGCAACCUCAUGGUUCCUAGUCGGAUUCGUUAACCACUGAGCCACAACGGGAACUCCAAAACUUCAGGGUAUUCUGGGAAGAUAUAUGGGAAUCUGAUGCAGGACUGGAUUGUAACUAGCUGUUUCUUUGGAGUCUUCUUAAUCGUCCCCUCUACUGAGAGAGACUUCUAUUUUUAAAAUCCAGGCAUUUCCACUUACUGUAUCGCAUUAACCUGACUGAAAUCUUAGGAAGGGACUACUCUCAUUCCCAUUUCAUACAGGAAUAAAUAAGUUAUGAUUUUC
Molecule: non-coding RNA, 7805 nt
Organism: Sus scrofa (pig)
Lineage: Eukaryota; Metazoa; Chordata; Mammalia; Artiodactyla; Suidae
Source: RefSeq, a predicted model, not a curated record